GCGGGCGUGGUUUAGUGGUAAAACCUCAGCCUUCCAAGCUGAUGAUGCGGGUUCGAUUCCCGCCGCCCGCU
Molecule: transfer RNA, 71 nt
Filed under: cyanobiont of Ornithocercus magnificus
Lineage: Bacteria; Bacillati; Cyanobacteriota; Cyanophyceae; Synechococcales
Rfam family: tRNA
About the family: Transfer RNA (tRNA) molecules are approximately 80 nucleotides in length. Their secondary structure includes four short double-helical elements and three loops (D, anti-codon, and T loops). Further hydrogen bonds mediate the characteristic L-shaped molecular structure. tRNAs have two regions of fundamental functional importance: the anti-codon, which is responsible for specific mRNA codon recognition, and the 3' end, to which the tRNAs corresponding amino acid is attached (by aminoacyl-tRNA synthetases). tRNAs cope with the degeneracy of the genetic code in two manners: having more than one tRNA (with a specific anti-codon) for a particular amino acid; and 'wobble' base-pairing, i.e. permitting non-standard base-pairing at the 3rd anti-codon position.
Source: Rfam by way of RNAcentral